CUAGAGCCGAUUUACGCAAUCGAAUACCGCCGGAAGUAGAACAUUUAUGUCAACACCAGUUUCGUAUUUUCACGUGAAAACGGCCGAAAACUGAGAGGUUAUCAACAAAUUAUAAGUUUACGGGUACCAUGAGGAUUUUUCAUGCAUUUAAACGAAAGAAGUACAAGCGAACAGAUGACACAUUAAAGUGGCUGCAGAAGCUUGAAAAGUUAGAUAGAGCAGGGGCAGUCAAAACAGUGGGAUAAUACUUCUAUGGUGUCCAACAUGUCUAGUCAGGUUGACAUAAGUGAAAGAUGGUCUGAUGGUACAAUGAUGUACAAAUGAUACUCUUUAACAAGUUGAACAUGUCAAGGCUAAUAUAAUGCCAGUUAUUAAAAUUACAUUCCCCUAAACAUUUAACAUAUACACAUUGUAAAUGUCAUUAAAAUGAUUUUAUGAAGUUUCAUGAAGGAUGGUACAGCCAGUGUUGAUCUGUAUGACUUAAUUAAACACAGAUAUUGAUACCUUCAGAUAUAUACCUGUGAAAUCUUCAGUGUCACCGUUCAGCUAUUGUUCAAGAUCAGUGUCUGCAGCUUGCACAGUUCAGUGUAGAGGAGCCUUCUGAAUCCACUUUGUUACAUAUUUGCUGUUAUUGUAGGACACGCAUGUAGAGAGCAGCAAGUCCUGUCCAGCCGUGCAUGUAAAUGUGAUUCAGAAACUUUGAGAAUAUGUAAACAUUACACUGUUAUAAUUUUCAAAAUACUGUGUCUUGUAGUGUAUCAGUACUGUUUUGUCUCAGUUUAUAGCACAGUAGUUCACAAAUCAAACAUAAGACCAUAGUGAUCAGUAUUAUUAAAAUCAUUAAUUAUUUGUAUGGUGACAAAAUUUAAUUUCGUGCAAUACCACAGUAAAACGUUUGAUAAUUUUCGCUUUUAAAGUUGUAAGUUUAAGGUUGGCAUAAUUUUUUUUUUCUUUCAUAAAUCUAAAAAGUGAUUGGUCAUUAUAACUGCAAUAUUAUUUUAGUAUGACAAAGUUUAUAUUGAACUAAAACACUAAUGUAAAUUUUUGAACUAAUCAAUGCAUUUUCUUCAGUCUUAAAACAUUUGUUUAUCGUACGUGUCAUGGCCCAUAACUCCUCCAUAUUACUUGUGUUUUGUCCUUUUUCAUUUCACUGAAGAAUAGGUAGAGGUAUUGCACAUCCAUUUUUUAGCAUCCUGAUUUUGUAGAGUGUUGUAUGUAAGGUUUUAUCUCGAAAUUAUGUCUCAUCUAAAGGUGGGGAGAGGUAUUAAUUAUGCCUUCUCGUCUAUCCGCAUUAAGCCUGUCUGGCUUUAAGAGGACAAGCUGCUGGCAAGAUUUUGAUGAAACUUCACAGGACUGAUCAGUACCAAGCAUAGUGUUGUGCAUAUCGCUUGCAUGUUUCGUUUUGAUGCACUAAAUUGCAGCCAUAGCUAAAAAUAGAAAAAUCUUGUCGGUUUUCACAGGUUAAAACUACUUAACAGAUUUUGAUGAAACUUCACAGGAGUGAUCAGUACCAAGUAUAUUUUUGCAUAUCACCGACACUUUCCAUUUUGCUGCACAAAAUAGCCGCCACAGCUAAAGGUAUACAUAGGUGGGAGACAUGUUUUGUCAUAAAAAUGCCUAAAGCACCUUCCACUUUGUUAAUGAAAAAUGUAACAAACGUCUUACAAUUGCAAACUGUAAUAAUUUGACAUUAAAUGCACUAGUUCCAUAACUGCAUUUGGCUUUUUUCAUAAUUAUUGCCCUUUUCUUACCAUAGCAAUAUUUUGUGUAACAUGUUACCUCAUUAAGCAUCAUAAGAUCAGAAAGUUCUAUGAUUCAGACAUGUUGGCCCUUUUUUACUUGUCAUGAGUAUGUUUUCAGUAUUUUAAAUUGUCAUUACUUUUUGUUGUGCCAGUUUACGGAAAUGAAGACUUAGUUGUCCAAAUGGUGUGCCUGUGCCUGUCGUGAUUUGUUUGUCUGGACAAUAUAUUAUUGAUUAGUCUUCACGAAACUUUGCAUGUUAAUUUCCUUAAGUUCCCUGUCAACUUGGAUAGUGGCACGGUUACUUUAGAAACACUACAGUGAUGUAACCACUGUACUAGUCAAACGUUUUGUAUUUCAGAUUUUAUAUCACAUUACAGGCUACUGGUCUUCAGCAGCCUCCAUAAAACUUUCAUAAAGUUUCCAAAAAUGUUGUAUUUUGAUUUGAACUGGCAUUAUUCAAACAGUAAGAAGUAGUACUAUAAGGCAACAUUUGACCUCUUUUCGAGUAAUUUUUGAUUUUCUCUGUUACUAUGAAAGUGCCUUUUCCUAGAAAUUGGUUGGCUUAUUUUUGAUGAUCUUAUGUUUUUAAUCAAUUGUGGCUAUGUUCUUUAUCUCAUGAAAAUUUCCAUUUUUGUAUAAUUCAUAUUUUUUACUGUCAACAAAGUGCAAUACCACAUACUUAUCACUUUCAUUAACAUACCUGUACUAUUUUCAUAAAACAUUAUAUAAAUCAUUAUAUAAAUCAUUAUAUUUCAUAUAAACAGAAUUAAAUAAAUAUUUAAGAACA
Long non-coding RNA from Mercenaria mercenaria, 2530 nucleotides. RefSeq lists it as uncharacterized. The record is from RefSeq and is a predicted model, not a curated record. NCBI's taxonomy places the organism in Eukaryota, Metazoa, Mollusca, Bivalvia, Venerida, Veneridae. The transcript has 4 exons.